This 732-nucleotide ribosomal RNA is filed under the name uncultured bacterium. RNAcentral's name for it is "bacterial SSU rRNA". It matches the Rfam family "Bacterial small subunit ribosomal RNA", at positions 761 to 1505 of the family's 1533-position model. The record is from RNAcentral.
GUGGGAAUCAAACAGGAUUAGAUACCCUGGUAGUCCACACGGUAAACGAUGAACACUAACUGUAUGCGGGUGACUGCAUGCGGUCAAGCGAAAGCGAUAAGUAUUCCACCUGGGGAGUACGCCGGCAACGGUGAAACUCAAAGGAAUUGACGGGGGCCCGCACAAGCGGAGGAACAUGUGGUUUAAUUCGAUGAUACGCGAGGAACCUUACCCGGGUUCGAACGGCUUCCGAAUAGAUGUGAAAGCAUUUAGCUAGCAAUAGCGGGAGUCGAGGUGCUGCAUGGUUGUCGUCAGCUCGUGCCGUGAGGUGUCGGCUUAAGUGCCAUAACGAGCGCAACCCUUACCGGGAGUUACCAACGGAUAAAGCCGGGGACUCUGCCGGGACUGCCGCCGUAAGGUGUGAGGAAGGUGGGGAUGACGUCAAAUCAGCACGGCCCUUACGUCCGGGGCGACACACGUGUUACAAUGGGAGGGACAAAGGGCAGCUACCGUGCAAGCGGAUGCGAAUCUCCAAACCCUCUCCCAGUUCGGAUAGGAGUCUGCAACCCGACUCCUUGAAGCUGGAUUCGCUAGUAAUCGCGCAUCAGCCAUGGCGCGGUGAAUACGUUCCCGGGCCUUGUACACACCGCCCGUCAAGCCAUGGAAGCCGGGGGUACCUGAAGUACGCAACCGCAAGGGACGUCCGAGGGUAAAACUGGUAACUGGGGCUAAGUCGUAACAAGGUAACCGUAA